Molecule: ribosomal RNA, 460 nt
Filed under: uncultured bacterium
Lineage: Bacteria
Description: partial 16S ribosomal RNA
Rfam family: Bacterial small subunit ribosomal RNA
Source: RNAcentral
CCUACGGGUGGCAGCAGUGAGGAAUAUUGGUCAAUGGGCGGGAGCCUGAACCAGCCAAGUCGCGUGAGGGAAGACGGUCCUAUGGAUUGUAAACCUCUUUAGGCGGGGAGCAAUGCCGGGCACGCGUGCCCGGAGGGAGAGUACCCGCAGAAUAAGCAACGGCUAACUCCGUGCCAGCAGCCGCGUUAAUACGGAGGAUGCGAGCGUUAUCGGGAUUUAUUGGGUUAAAAGGAUGCGUAGGCGGAUUUUUAAGUCAGCGGUAAAAUGUACGGCCUCAACCCGGGACGGCAGUUGAAACUGGGGGUCUUGAGUGGGCGAGAGGUAAGCGGAAGGCGUGGUGUAGCGGUGAAAUGCAUAGAUAUAACGAAGAACUCCGAUUGCGAAGGCAGCAUACCGGCGGCCAACUGACGCUGAGGCACGAAAGCGUGGGGAUCGAACAGGAUUAGAUACCCUGGUAGUC